RNAcentral lists this transfer RNA (67 nucleotides) under uncultured Anaeroplasma sp. It matches the Rfam family "tRNA". Rfam says of the family: Transfer RNA (tRNA) molecules are approximately 80 nucleotides in length. Their secondary structure includes four short double-helical elements and three loops (D, anti-codon, and T loops). Further hydrogen bonds mediate the characteristic L-shaped molecular structure. tRNAs have two regions of fundamental functional importance: the anti-codon, which is responsible for specific mRNA codon recognition, and the 3' end, to which the tRNAs corresponding amino acid is attached (by aminoacyl-tRNA synthetases). tRNAs cope with the degeneracy of the genetic code in two manners: having more than one tRNA (with a specific anti-codon) for a particular amino acid; and 'wobble' base-pairing, i.e. permitting non-standard base-pairing at the 3rd anti-codon position. Lineage: Bacteria; Bacillati; Mycoplasmatota; Mollicutes; Anaeroplasmatales; Anaeroplasmataceae. The record is from RNAcentral.
GGCAUAGUUUAGUUGGUUAGAGCAGUAGCCUGUCACGCUACAAGCGGGAGUUCAAAUCUCCCUGUCA